RNAcentral lists this ribosomal RNA (562 nucleotides) under uncultured bacterium. RNAcentral describes it as "partial 16S ribosomal RNA". It matches the Rfam family "Bacterial small subunit ribosomal RNA", at positions 355 to 907 of the family's 1533-position model. The record is from RNAcentral.
UGGGAAAUAUUGGACAAUGGGCGCAAGCCUGAUCCAGCAAUGCCGCGUGUGUGAAGAAGGCCUUCGGGUUGUAAAGCACUUUUAUCAGGAGCGAAACGCUGUCGGCUAAUACCCGGCGGAACUGACGGUACCUGAGGAAUAAGCACCGGCUAACUUCGUGCCAGCAGCCGCGGUAAUACGAAGGGUGCAAGCGUUAAUCGGAAUUACUGGGCGUAAAGCGUGCGUAGGCGGUUUCUUAAGUCUGCUGUGAAAUCCCCGGGCUCAACCUGGGAAUGGCAGUGGAUACUGGGAGGCUAGAGUGUGUCAGAGGGUGGCGGAAUUCCCGGUGUAGCGGUGAAAUGCGUAGAGAUCGGGAGGAACAUCAGUGGCGAAGGCGGCCACCUGGGACAACACUGACGCUGAGGCACGAAAGCGUGGGGAGCAAACAGGAUUAGAUACCCUGGUAGUCCACGCCCUAAAACGAUGCGAACUGGAUGUUGGUCUCAACUCGGAGAUCAGUGUCGAAGCUAACGCGUUAAGUUCGCCGCCUGGGGAGUACGGUCGCAAGACUGAAACUUAAAGG